This 548-nucleotide ribosomal RNA is filed under the name embryophyte environmental sample. RNAcentral's name for it is "eukaryotic LSU rRNA". The stretch from base 115 to 270 matches the Rfam family "5.8S ribosomal RNA". Lineage: Eukaryota; Viridiplantae; Streptophyta. The record is from RNAcentral.
CAAAAAGCUCCUAACAACCAAAGGCGCGGGAUGCGCCAAGGAAAAUCGAAACGAAUCUGACUCCUGCCUCGGUGCAUUGCAUCGUGUCGGCGAGUGUAUUCGAUAAGUCAUAACGACUCUCGGCAACGGAUAUCUCGGCUCUCGCAUCGAUGAAGAACGUAGCAAAAUGCGAUACGUGGUGUGAAUUGCAGGAUCCCGUGAACCAUCGAGUUUUUGAACGCAAGUUGCGCCCGAAGCCUUUAGGCCGAGGGCACGUCUGCCUGGGCGUCACGCACCGUUGCCCCCCAAACCCCCUCAGUCCUCCACGGAGGAUUGGCGAGGCGCGUGGGGGGCGUAAAGUGGCUUCCCGUCGGCUUUGUCCCGCGGUUGGCCUAAAAAUGAAUCCCUAGCCGCGGUGCGCGCGGCAUUCGGUGGUCAUCGAUCCCUUUCGUUACCCCGCCGCGCGCUCACGUGCCGCGAAGGAUGUCACACUAGUAAACCCGACGCCUCGCUUUGUGAAGAGCGGAGCUUACAACGCGACCCCAGGUCAGGCGGGGCUACCCGUUGAA